GACGAACGCUGGCGGCGCGCUUAACACAUGCAAGUCGAACGGAAAGGCCUGCUUUCCCUUGUGGAUUGCGGGUACUCGAGUGGCGAACGGGUGAGUAACACGUGAGUGAUCUGCCCCCAACUUGGGUAUAAGCCUGGGAAACUGGGUCUAAUUCCCGAUAGGACUGCAGGGUGGUGCCUGUGGUGGAAAACGAUUUUCUAGUGGUUGGGGAUGAGCUCGCGGCCUAUCAGCUUGUUGGUGGGGUAAUGGCCUACCAAGGCGGCGACGGGUAGCCGGCCUGAGAGGGUGGACGGCCACAUUGGGACUGAGAUACGGCCCAGACGCCUACGGGAGGCAGCAGUGGGGAAGAGUGCACAAUGGGCGGAAGCCUGAUGCAGCGACGCAGCGUGGGGGAUGACGGCCUUCGGGUUGUAAACUCCUUUCGACCGCGAGGAAGCCACCUGGUUGGAAGGGUGGUGACGGUAGUGGUAGAAGAAGCACCGGCUAACUACGUG
This 494-nucleotide ribosomal RNA is filed under the name uncultured bacterium. Its description in RNAcentral is "partial 16S ribosomal RNA". It matches the Rfam family "Bacterial small subunit ribosomal RNA", at positions 28 to 507 of the family's 1533-position model. The record is from RNAcentral.